GGCCAGGUAGCUCAGUCGGUAGAGCAGGGGACUGAAAAUCCCCGUGUCGGCGGUUCAAUUCCGUCCCUGGCCA
RNAcentral lists this transfer RNA (73 nucleotides) under Fidelibacterota bacterium. Its description in RNAcentral is "tRNA-Phe". It matches the Rfam family "tRNA". From Rfam's summary of the family: Transfer RNA (tRNA) molecules are approximately 80 nucleotides in length. Their secondary structure includes four short double-helical elements and three loops (D, anti-codon, and T loops). Lineage: Bacteria; Pseudomonadati; Fidelibacterota. The record is from RNAcentral.